Molecule: ribosomal RNA, 490 nt
Filed under: uncultured bacterium
Lineage: Bacteria
Description: bacterial SSU rRNA
Rfam family: Bacterial small subunit ribosomal RNA
Source: RNAcentral
AAAUGAAUAGACGGGGACUCGCACAACCAGUGGAGCAUGUGGUUUAAUUCGAUACAAAGCGAUGGACCUUACCCGGGUUUGACAUGCUACCGUUUUAGUUCUGCAGAAACGUAGAAUGAUCCGCAAGGAAGGUAGCACAGCUGCUGCAUGGCUGUCGUCAGCUCUAGGCGUGAGCUGUAGGCUUAAGUGCCUCAUAGAGCGCAACCCCUAUCUAGUGUUAAAUAUUCACGAGAGACUGCCCUGAUAUAUGUCAGGGAGGAAGGAGGGGACGACGUCAAGUCAGCAUGGCGCUUAUGUCCGGGGCUACACACAUCCUACAAUGGCGAAGAACAACGAGCUUAGCGACUCGGCAACGAGAAGCAAAUCUCUGAAAUUUCGCCUCAGUUCGGAUUGAGGGCUGCAACCCGCCCUCAUGAAGUCGGAAUUGGUAGUAAUCGCGGAUCAGCAGGCCGCGGUGAAUACGUUCUCGAGUCUUGUACACACCGCCCGU